ACGCUCGACACCUACGGGGGCAGCAGUGGGGAAUAUUGCACAAUGGGGGAAACCCUGAUGCAGCGACGCCGCGUGGAGGAAGAAGGUCUUCGGAUUGUAAACUCCUGUUGUUGGGGAAAAAGAGGAUGGUACCCAACAAGGAAGUGACGGCUAACUACGUGCGAGCAGCCGCGGUAAUCUGAGCGGGCUGGCAAGGC
Molecule: ribosomal RNA, 197 nt
Filed under: uncultured bacterium
Lineage: Bacteria
Description: partial 16S ribosomal RNA
Rfam family: Bacterial small subunit ribosomal RNA
Source: RNAcentral